RNAcentral lists this ribosomal RNA (305 nucleotides) under uncultured bacterium. Its description in RNAcentral is "bacterial SSU rRNA". It matches the Rfam family "Bacterial small subunit ribosomal RNA", at positions 338 to 639 of the family's 1533-position model. The record is from RNAcentral.
CCUACGGGGGGCAGCAGUGAGGAAUAUUGGUCAAUGGGCGGGAGCCUGAACCAGCCAAGUCGCGUGAGGGAAGACGGUCCUAUGGAUUGUAAACCUCUUUAGGCGGGGAGCAAUGCCGGGCACGCGUGCCCGGAGGGAGAGUACCCGCAGAAUAAGCAUCGGCUAACUCCGUGCCAGCAGCCGCGGUAAUACGGAGGAUGCGAGCGUUAUCCGGAUUUAUUGGGUUUAAAGGGAGCGUAGGCCGGUCUUUAAGCGUGCCGUGAAAUUUUGUGGCUCAACCAUGAGAGUGCGGCGCGAACUGGAGA